UUCACCUCAUGAACAUCACUCGUCCUCCGUCAUCAUCCUUCUGUCUGUGAUUCUGCUGCUGCUGGUGUUGGUUGGAUUUAUUCACAUUGUGAAACAUGGAGCGCUCCUCUGCUUUUCCUCAAAAACACCAACUGCUGCAUCAGAAUCUGAAGGCAAUAAUCAAAUAGCUGAAGUGUGUGAAGAUGAAGCUGCAGAAGAUGAAGCCAGUGUCACGUAUUCAGUGGUUGGACCGAAAACAAGACCCAACAAAGAUGAACCUCUUUACUCCACCAUCAGCCUCAGUAAGACCAAACACACCCACAACCAUUCACCACAUUUGAUUAUAAAUGAUCCAAAUCUGAAGUAAUACUGU
Molecule: long non-coding RNA, 352 nt
Organism: Sphaeramia orbicularis (orbiculate cardinalfish)
Lineage: Eukaryota; Metazoa; Chordata; Actinopteri; Kurtiformes; Apogonidae
Exons: 4
Source: RefSeq, a predicted model, not a curated record